RNAcentral lists this ribosomal RNA (512 nucleotides) under uncultured bacterium. RNAcentral describes it as "bacterial SSU rRNA". It matches the Rfam family "Bacterial small subunit ribosomal RNA", at positions 1 to 509 of the family's 1533-position model. The record is from RNAcentral.
CAACAGCUAGAGUUUGAUCCUGGCUCAGGAUGAACGCUGGCGGCGUGCCUAACACAUGCAAGUCGAACGGAGUUAUUUUGGAAAGUUCCUUCGGGGACUGGAAUCUAUAACUUAGUGGCGGACGGGUGAGUAACGCGUGAGCAAUCUGCCUUUAGGAGGGGGAUAACAGUCGGAAACGGCUGCUAAUACCGCAUAAUACGUUUUAGAGGCAUCUCUUAAACGUCAAAGAUUUUAUCGCCUUUAGAUGAGCUCGCGUCUGAUUAGCUAGUUGGCGGGGUAACGGCCCACCAAGGCGACGAUCAGUAGCCGGACUGAGAGGUUGAACGGCCACAUUGGGACUGAGACACGGCCCAGACUCCUACGGGAGGCAGCAGUGGGGAAUAUUGCGCAAUGGGGGCAACCCUGACGCAGCAACGCCGCGUGAUUGAAGAAGGCCUUCGGGUUGUAAAGAUCUUUAAUCAGGGACGAAAAAUGACGGUACCUGAAGAAUAAGCUCCGGCUAACUACGUGCC